UACACGAUAGCCUUGGUGGGGAUUGUAGUUCCAAGUGCUUUGAGAAGACCGUUGCUUAUGUAUAUAAUGGACGAGUUGCACCGCAUCUGGAGUGUUGUGUGCAGUUCUGGUUACCACAGAACAAACGAGAUGGAGCAGCACUUGAAGCUGUGCAGAGGAGAGCAAUCAGGUGUAUCCCAGAACUUAUCGGAUAGAAUACAAAAGGAGAAAAUCCUGGAGGUCCACUGAUGCCACUUCCCUGCCGGCCAAAGCCAUGUCACUUUCUGUCACAGCAGUGUAUAACCGAGAGUCUCACCAGUAGUCUGCAUUCAUUCAAGGACCAACUUUGGAGGAACACAGAGCUCCAAACCUCUGAAGUAUAUUUUCAGGACACAAAAUCAAAGAAGACAAACAAUAACUCACCCGCAAUACUUCUGGUCACCCAAAAUGGCUUCCAUUCAACUCUGAAAUCCAUCGGUGACAUAACUUCAGGCUCUCCCGAGAUGACAUCACUUCUGGCUCUGGCAUAACAAUGCUACUUCCGGUUCCUGGAAUAACGCUACCUCCGGCCUUCCAUGAUGACGUCAGUUCUGGCCAUCCUUGACAAUGUCAUUUCUGAACCUCAAUGAUGAUGUCAUUUUUGACUCUCUGCAUUUGAUGUCAUUUCCUGCAUAGAUCAUUUCCUGCCACCAUUUUCUAUAAAGGCUCCCUGUAUUCAUUACUCCAUGGUCAAUUGCUCUUGUUUUUUUUCCACUUUGUCCGACAGACAUUAUACAAAAACGUUCCCCAAUUCUUUUUUGAGAUUCCUAGAGUAUAUCCAGUAAAUCAGCCAUAGCAUGCUCAAAAUGGAACAGCAAGAAUCUUUACUAAAAGGAAAAACAUCUGUACACGUUUCAAACAUGUUAGCGUCAUUCCAUUGACUGCUGGCGUCUUUUUACCACACUUCUUUUAACUUCACCUGUUUGUUGUCUGGAACAAAUCUUGUCAACGAUAUUUAAUCCACUUCCUAUUGUCCAAAUGAUUU
This is a long non-coding RNA of Polypterus senegalus (gray bichir), 1003 nucleotides long. RefSeq lists it as uncharacterized. Lineage: Eukaryota; Metazoa; Chordata; Cladistia; Polypteriformes; Polypteridae. The record is from RefSeq and is a predicted model, not a curated record. The transcript is spliced from 4 exons.